GUUGGAUGUCAAGAGUAGAUAAUGUUGAUGACUAAUGGAAGAGUAGUUUAUACAGCGUGGAUACGCUGGGCAAAGAGAUGGUUCACAUUCCACUUGGAGCAGGAUGGUGCAAGAUUUCAUCACACUUCUCAGAACAACACACAGUUUAAAACUUAAUGACUUUUUUAUUUCUGGAAUUUCUCAUUUAAAAUUUUUGGACCACAGUUGACUGCAGGUUGUAAAGCUCUCUGAAAUAGUGACCUUAGCGAAGCAAGCACAUGUGGAUGUGAAAUUUCAGUUGCCAAUAUGAUCUGAAAACCCAGUGGAUGGCUGAAGUUGCAAAGCCUAGACCAAGCCAGCUUGAUUCUGGCACUUGGUAGCAGAUGCCCAUGAAGGGGAAAAAUAAGCAGGCAAAAACCAAAAAACAGAAACCAACUCUCAAAACUCCAGCAGAAGGCAAUGAAGCUGUUAAUAUUUUGGAGUUGAUUGACCACCAGUUGAGAGCCUGCAGUUCAUCAGUUGAGAGUGACAAUUCCAGAGUGACCAGCUGAGCAUAUAUGCAGGAGGAGAUAUCUUUUUAUGGCUUAGCAGAAUGCUGCUCAAAGCGCCAGUCUCUGAAGCUCUUUGUUCCUGACUUGCAACCAGGUACUUUAGAUUUUCUACAUCUAAUGGUGGCAAAUAAAUCCACUAGCUGCCAAAUACAUGGGAAAUGAUCUGUGAAAACCACAAGUGGCCCAACAAACUGUACGUCUUCAAUUUGACAGCACAAAGGAAUUAUUGAACAGAAGCUGAAAAAGCA
This 778-nucleotide long non-coding RNA is filed under the name Homo sapiens (human). Its description in RNAcentral is "HSALNT0373280". Lineage: Eukaryota; Metazoa; Chordata; Mammalia; Primates; Hominidae. The record is from RNAcentral.